CUAGAAUUCUUUCCAGUGA
RNAcentral lists this microRNA (19 nucleotides) under Pteropus alecto (black flying fox). Its description in RNAcentral is "pal-miR-422c-5p". Its record names the gene pal-miR-422c-5p. The record is from miRBase by way of RNAcentral. Lineage: Eukaryota; Metazoa; Chordata; Mammalia; Chiroptera; Pteropodidae.